GAUGAAGAACGUAGCGAAAUGCGAUAAGUAAUGUGAAUUGCAGAAUUCAGUGAAUCAUCGAAUCUUUGAACGCACAUUGCGCCCGCCAGUAUUCUGGCGGGCAUGCCUGUUCGAGCGUCAUUUCAACCAUCAAGCCCCGGGCUUGUGUUGGGGACCUGCGGCUGCCGCAGGCCCUGAAAUGCAGUGGCGGGCUCGCUGUCACUCCGAGCGUAGUAGUUACAUCUCGCUCUGGGCGUGCUGCGGGUUCCGGCCGUUAAAAGCCUUAUUUACCCAAGGUUGACCUCGGAUCAGGUAGGAAGACCCGCUGAACUUAAGCAUAUCAAAAGCGGAGGA
RNAcentral lists this unclassified non-coding RNA (333 nucleotides) under soil metagenome. RNAcentral's name for it is "partial contains 5.8S ribosomal RNA, internal transcribed spacer 2, and large subunit ribosomal RNA". The stretch from base 1 to 120 matches the Rfam family "5.8S ribosomal RNA", at positions 35 to 154 of the family's 154-position model. The record is from RNAcentral.